AGCGAACGCUGGCGGCAGGCCUAACACAUGCGAGUCGAACGAACCUUUCGGGGUUAGUGGCGGACGGGUGAGUAACACGUGGGAACGUGCCUUUAGGUUCGGAAUAACUCAGGGAAACUUGUGCUAAUACCGAAUGUGCCCUUCGGGGGAAAGAUUAAUCGCCUUUAGAGCGGCCCGCGUCUGAUUAGCUAGUAGGUUGAGGUAAUGGCUCACCAAGGCGACGAUCAGUAGCUGGUCUGAGAGGAUGAUCAGCCACAUUGGGACUGAGACACGGCCCAAACUCCUACGGGAGGCAGCAGUGGGGAAUCUUGCGCAAUGGGCGAAAGCCUGACGCAGCCAUGCCGCGUGAAUGAUGAAGGUCUUAGGAUUGUAAAAUUCUUUCACCGGGGACGAUAAUGACGGUACCCGGAGAAGAAGCCCCGGCUAACUUCGUG
Molecule: ribosomal RNA, 434 nt
Filed under: uncultured bacterium
Lineage: Bacteria
Description: partial 16S ribosomal RNA
Rfam family: Bacterial small subunit ribosomal RNA
Source: RNAcentral